Molecule: long non-coding RNA, 176 nt
Organism: Octopus sinensis (East Asian common octopus)
Lineage: Eukaryota; Metazoa; Mollusca; Cephalopoda; Octopoda; Octopodidae
Exons: 3
Source: RefSeq, a predicted model, not a curated record
CAUAAAACUAUAUUGAAAAGUUCUUUUUAUGUUGUUGGCACUCCGACGAGUGUUCCAAUUGAUCCGAUCAACGGAAAAGCCUGCUCGUUUAAUUAAAGUGUAAGUGGCUGAGCACUCCACAGACACGAGUACCCUUAAUGUAGUUCUCGGGGGAGAUUCAGCGUGACAAAGUGUGU